UACGGAGGAUCCAAGCGUUAUCCGGAAUCAUUGGGUUUAAAGGGUCCGUAGGCGGUUUAGUAAGUCAGUGGUGAAAGCCCAUCGCUCAACGAUGGAACGGCCAUUGAUACUGCUAGACUUGAAUUAUUAGGAAGUAACUAGAAUAUGUAGUGUAGCGGUGAAAUGCUUAGAUAUUACAUGGAAUACCAAUUGCGAAGGCAGGUUACUACUAAUGGAUUGACGCUGAUGGACGAAAGCGUGGGGAGCGAACAGG
Molecule: ribosomal RNA, 253 nt
Filed under: uncultured bacterium
Lineage: Bacteria
Description: partial 16S ribosomal RNA
Rfam family: Bacterial small subunit ribosomal RNA
Source: RNAcentral